This is a small nuclear RNA of Cavia porcellus (domestic guinea pig), 104 nucleotides long. The record is from Rfam. Lineage: Eukaryota; Metazoa; Chordata; Mammalia; Rodentia; Caviidae.
GUGCUUGCUUCAGCAGCACAUAUACUAAAAUUGGAAUGAUGCAGAGAAUAUAAUCAUGGGUGCUGCACCAGGAUGACACGCAGCAUGAUCCAUGGACAAACAUA